Small nuclear RNA from Centruroides sculpturatus (bark scorpion), 145 nucleotides. RefSeq annotates it as U4 spliceosomal RNA. The record is from RefSeq and is a predicted model, not a curated record. The transcript has a single exon. NCBI's taxonomy places the organism in Eukaryota, Metazoa, Arthropoda, Arachnida, Scorpiones, Buthidae.
AGCUUUGCGCAGAGGUGAUAUCGUUACUAAUGAGGUUCUGACCGAAGUGCAAUUAUUGCUAGUUGAAAGUUUACUAUAAACAGCCAGGUACUAUAUGUUGGAAUUUCCAUACUGUUUGCUGCAUAGAGGAUAAGUUUUCCUGGAG